Molecule: ribosomal RNA, 253 nt
Filed under: uncultured bacterium
Lineage: Bacteria
Description: partial 16S ribosomal RNA
Rfam family: Bacterial small subunit ribosomal RNA
Source: RNAcentral
UACGAAGGGGGCUAGCGUUGUUCGGAAUCACUGGGCGUAAAGCGCACGUAGGCGGAUUGUUAAGUCGGGGGUGAAAUCCUGAGGCUCAACCUCAGAACUGCCUUCGAUACUGGCGAUCUUGAGUCCGGAAGAGGUUGGUGGAACAGCUAGUGUAGAGGUGAAAUUCGUAGAUAUUAGCUAGAACACCAGUGGCGAAGGCGGCCAACUGGCCCGGAACUGACGCUGAGGUGCGAAAGCGUGGGGAGCAAACAGG